AGAAUCAACGCUGGCGGCGUGCCUAACACAUGCAAGUCGAACGAGAAAGUGGAGCAAUCCAUGAGUAAAGUGGCGCACGGGUGAGUAACACGUGACUAACCUACCCUUGAGUGGGGGAUAACCUAGAGAAAUCUGGGCUAAUACCGCAUAACACCUACGGGUCAAAGGAGCAAUUCGCUUAAGGAGGGGGUCGCGGCAGAUUAGCUAGUUGGCGGGGUAAUGGCCCACCAAGGCAGUGAUCUGUA
This 245-nucleotide ribosomal RNA is filed under the name uncultured bacterium. RNAcentral describes it as "partial small subunit ribosomal RNA". It matches the Rfam family "Bacterial small subunit ribosomal RNA", at positions 26 to 285 of the family's 1533-position model. The record is from RNAcentral.